CCUAUUUCAUGGUGGAAACUGCAGGUUUCAAACUUUAGAGAAAAAAUAGCGAUACAUGGACUCCAUGGUUGUUGGAGAUCGAGAGAAGUGAAGGAGGAGUGAGCCGGAGAGGCGAUGGUCGUCAUCGGAGAAGACGGAGAGAACCAAAAGGUUCUAGAGAGAUGAAAGGUUAGAGAGCAUAAGUUAGAGAUAGAGAGACCGGUCCUUGAAAAUGAAAGGUUGGGGUAAUUAGAUUUUAAUUGUGGAAAAUAGAUCUGGGCCGUUGAUCUUAUUCCUAGAGAGAUGAAAGGUUAGAGAGCAUAGGUUAGAUAUAGAGAGACUG
This 322-nucleotide long non-coding RNA is filed under the name Nicotiana benthamiana. RNAcentral describes it as "long non-coding RNA (NBEN_LNC025782)". The record is from RNAcentral. Lineage: Eukaryota; Viridiplantae; Streptophyta; Magnoliopsida; Solanales; Solanaceae.